CUGCACCGAGAGAGAGAAGAUCUAAGUGAUCAAAGUUCCACUGAGCACAUCCAAACACCGAAUUCCUGGAUCAAGAGAACCACGGUCCCGUCUGACACUUGGCGAUCCUCGUGUCAGAAGGGACCGUUCACAAUUAGUAUCGAGAAUUAAGAUACUUCUUGUUUCAAGUAUUCCUGAGAAUUCUAAUUACUUGUCAACGAAAUAUUGCGAAUUGGAGACUUCCAGAUGAAGGCGGAUCGGGGCAAGGAGUAUCAUCCUCCCGUUAAGCAAGAAAAGCAGCUAAAGCAGAAGCAGACGCAACACCUGUCUACAGACAUGCACAGCAAGAUGAAUUUGAUAUCACCAGCAGCGAUGCAUCACACAGUGGCAUCAGGAGCGUUUCAGGAAAGCAAGCUGAUCAAGCACAGGCACACCGACGCAAGAGACUUUUCUCAUGAGAAGCCGUUCGAGCGCGUUUUGGUGAGGAUCUGGAUUUCAAACUCAUGUUUGAACAUAGUUGUAUUCUUCCUGACCCAUCAGCAACCUUGAUCUGUGCUCAUCUGACUGAUCGUCUGAGUACUGCCUGAGCACUUCACUCUUGUGUAGGUUGCCAGCUACUUCAUCGAAAAGCAAGCAAAGGCUGAGGCCAUGCGAUGUCUGCAGGGACCUUGAUCCCUUCGACAUAGGAUUUACUUUCUGGGAGGAACCUUUUUGGAUUGGAUUG
This 703-nucleotide long non-coding RNA is filed under the name Coccomyxa subellipsoidea. RNAcentral describes it as "long non-coding RNA (CSUB_LNC000579)". The record is from RNAcentral. Lineage: Eukaryota; Viridiplantae; Chlorophyta; Trebouxiophyceae; Coccomyxaceae.